AGAGAGAGAUAGAAGAUGAAGAAAAAAAACAAAAAGGCUAGCCUGAGGUGGGAUGAAAUAAGUAGAAAAUAAGCCAGAAAAAAAAUUACCUGGAGAGUGCAUAGCAGAGGCCUUUGAUGAAGCUGGAGCAUCAGGAUGUGAUUAAGCUUAUUGUCCCUUUCUUCUUCUUUGGCAUUUUAAAUCCUAAAUUAAAUGCCGAAAAUUUCUUUCUAAAAAAUAUUGAGAAAAUUGUGCAUGUGAACUCAUUAAUUUUCAUGUUUGGAUGUAAGUUUAUUUUGUUAUAUUUGAUUGUCUUUGUUAUCAAAUUGUGUGCUAAAAUA
This 320-nucleotide unclassified non-coding RNA is filed under the name Hevea brasiliensis (rubber tree). Lineage: Eukaryota; Viridiplantae; Streptophyta; Magnoliopsida; Malpighiales; Euphorbiaceae. The record is from RNAcentral.